ACACUGAUGGUUCAGUGGUAGAAUUCCUACCCUCCACGUAGGAGACCUGGGUUCGAUUCCAGCCAAUGCA
This 70-nucleotide transfer RNA is filed under the name Loxodonta africana (African savanna elephant). It matches the Rfam family "tRNA". From Rfam's summary of the family: Transfer RNA (tRNA) molecules are approximately 80 nucleotides in length. Their secondary structure includes four short double-helical elements and three loops (D, anti-codon, and T loops). Further hydrogen bonds mediate the characteristic L-shaped molecular structure. tRNAs have two regions of fundamental functional importance: the anti-codon, which is responsible for specific mRNA codon recognition, and the 3' end, to which the tRNAs corresponding amino acid is attached (by aminoacyl-tRNA synthetases). tRNAs cope with the degeneracy of the genetic code in two manners: having more than one tRNA (with a specific anti-codon) for a particular amino acid; and 'wobble' base-pairing, i.e. permitting non-standard base-pairing at the 3rd anti-codon position. Lineage: Eukaryota; Metazoa; Chordata; Mammalia; Proboscidea; Elephantidae. The record is from Rfam by way of RNAcentral.